GUGCCUAACACAUGCAAGUCGAACGAAGCAAUUAAGAUGAAGUUUUCGGAUGGAAUCUUGAUUGACUGAGUGGCGGACGGGUGAGUAACGCGUGGAUAACCUGCCUCACACUGGGGGAUAACAGUUAGAAAUGACUGCUAAUACCGCAUAAGCGCACAGUGCCGCAUGGCAGUGUGUGAAAAACUCCGGUGGUGUGAGAUGGAUCCGCGUCUGAUUAGCCAGUUGGCGGGGUAACGGCCCACCAAAGCGACGAUCAGUAGCCGACCUGAGAGGGUGACCGGCCACAUUGGGACUGAGACACGGCCCAAACUCCUACGGGAGGCAGCAGUGGGGAAUAUUGCACAAUGGGCGAAAGCCUGAUGCAGCGACGCCGCGUGAGUGAAGAAGUAUUUCGGUAUGUAAAGCUCUAUCAGCAGGGAAGAAAAUGACGGUACCUGACUAAGAAGCCCCGGCUAACUACGUGCCAGCAGCCGCGGUAAUACGUAGGGGGCAGGCGUUAUCCGGAUUUACUGGGUGUAAAGGGAGCGUAGACGGCGAAGCAAGUCUGAAGUGAAAACCCAGGGCUCAACCCUGGGACUGCUUUGGAAACUGUUUUGCUAGAGUGUCGGAGAGGUAAGUGGAAUUCCUAGUGUAGCGGUGAAAUGCGUAGAUAUUAGGAGGAACACCAGUGGCGAAGGCGGCUUACUGGACGAUAACUGACGUUGAGGCUCGAAAGCGUGGGGAGCAAACAGGAUUAGAUACCCUGGUGGUCCACGCCGUAAACGAUGAAUGCUAGGUGUUGGGGGGCAAAGCCCUUCGGUGCCGCCGCAAACGCAGUAAGCAUUCCACCUGGGGAGUACGUUCGCAAGAAUGAAACUCAAAGGAAUUGACGGGGACCCGCACAAGCGGUGGAGCAUGUGGUUUAAUUCGAAGCAACGCGAAGAACCUUACCAAGUCUUGACAUCCCCCUGACGGGCCGGUAACGCGGCCUUUCCUUCGGGACAGGGGAGACAGGUGGUGCAUGGUUGUCGUCAGCUCGUGUCGUGAGAUGUUGGGUUAAGUCCCGCAACGAGCACAACCCUUAUCCUUAGUAGCCAGCACGCGAAGGUGGGCACUCUAGGGAGACUGCCAGGGAUAACCUGGAGGAAGGUGGGGAUGACGUCAAAUCAUCAUGCCCCUUAUGAUUUGGGCUACACACGUGCUACAAUGGCGUAAACAAAGGGAAGCGAGACAGUGAUGUGGAGCAAAUCCCAAAAAUAACGUCCCAGUUCGGACUGUAGUCUGCAACCCGACUACACGAAGCUGGAAUCGCUAGUAAUCGCGAAUCAGAAUGUCGCGGUGAAUACGUUCCCUGGUCUUGUACACACCGCCCGUCACACCAUGGGAGUCAGCAACGCCCGAAGUCAGUGACCCAACCGAAAGGAGGGAGCUGCCGAAGGCGGGGCAGGUAACUGGGGUGAA
RNAcentral lists this ribosomal RNA (1440 nucleotides) under uncultured organism. Its description in RNAcentral is "16S ribosomal RNA". It matches the Rfam family "Bacterial small subunit ribosomal RNA". The record is from RNAcentral.